RNA transcript from Sebastes umbrosus (honeycomb rockfish), 4126 nucleotides. It is a transcript of the gene named CXXC-type zinc finger protein 5-like, with no coding region annotated. The transcript is spliced from 5 exons. The record is from RefSeq and is a predicted model, not a curated record. NCBI's taxonomy places the organism in Eukaryota, Metazoa, Chordata, Actinopteri, Perciformes, Sebastidae.
GCUCGCUGUUAGAGUUUAACAUUAACAGAGUCAUCCUGAGUGAAGCCAGCAGGUCUGUUCGGUUUAACGUCACAUUUACAUCCAGAGAGAAGAAAGCAGCAGAUAGAUAAAGUAGAGUCAGCUGAUAACAACAGAACAGAACGAAACGUGUCGACCACACGGGACCAGCUGUGAGCGAGCGCGUGCGUGUGUGAGAGGUCAUGUCAGGCAUGACGAGCGGCGUGUGCGUGGAGAGCGACCUCUCCUCGAUGCUCCAAAGAAGCUCCGCCCCUUCCCACCAUCACCCAAAUCACCAUGGUUACGGCGGACAGGGACAGGUGUCGAGCCUCGCUCCGAUGCUGGACUACACCACAGAGAUGGACCGCUACCGCUCGUCCAUCGCCAACUUCUAUAAGACCAACGUCAACAUGAACAUGAACGUCACAAACUUCCCUCAGUCCGCCAAACUGGCGGCACGUUUGGCGGCCGCCGCCCCCAUGUUCCCCCCCGCCGCCGCCAGGCUGGGUGCCAUGGCGACGGCGCCCUGGGGUUGCCAUGACAACAUGAACGUGAACAUGAACCACCCGGCGGCCAUGUUCUGGGGUCGGCCCAAACCCGCCCCGACGCAUCACCACCACCACCCCCACCAUCACCCCUCAGCAACGCCGGGGCACAUGACCUCAUCACACCCCCACGGGACCAGCAUGCACCAGGGCAGCGGCGGGUCAGGAGGGGGAGGAGGAGGGGGUGGAGGGAGCAGUGAGGGGGGAGGAGCUGAAAAACACGGACACACUGCCUCCUCACUUCCUGUCACACAAGGAGCAGCACACCAUCACCCCAUGGCACCGAGCAACGGGAACUUCCUCCCUGCUUACGGUGCGGACUGCGGCGUCAUGAACAAACAGGGACACGCCCACCCGGACAUGAUGGGCCUAUCGGAGGGCGGGAGCUGCAAUGGGGGAGGGGUGAUGGGUAGCAGCUUCCUGGGGGGGCUGGGAUUACCCCCCGGGGUCAUCGUCAUGGCGAUGGGGUCGGCAGGGGGCGGGAUCUCAGAUGCCGGCAGCGCCUUCCAGAUGACCGGCGGCCAGCGGGCGCUAACGGACUGCCAGCAGCACGCCAACUCCUCCCCCUGCCCCUCAUCCUCCUCGCCCUCGUCGUCGGGGGUGACGGCCGGGGGCGUGGCCUUGUCGUCGUCGUCAACGACAGGGACAUCCUCGGGCGCGGUGGCCAAGAGGAAGAGGAAGCGGUGCGGCGUGUGCGGGCCGUGCAGGCGGCUCAUCAACUGCGGCGUCUGCUCGUCCUGCCGCAACAGGAAGACGGGUCACCAGAUCUGCAAGUUCAGGAAGUGUGAAGAGCUGAAGAAGAAGCCGGGGGGAGGAGGGGGGGCGCUGGAGCGGCCGCCCUCCGUCCCGACCGGCGAGGCGUUUCGGUGGUUCUUCUAGCCUUCCCUCCGCCAACAGAGGCCGAACAGGAAGUCACCAUCACACAUGGACUAUAAAUCCAGCUGGGAUGAAUUUUAAAAAAAAAGGACUACAACUUCUAGAUUUGAACCAGGUGCUUUGCAGCAGGAUUACAAUUUCAUACUGAGUGGAUGACUAUUUAAGACUACAAAUCCACCCACCUCAACUGGAACAGGGAACCAGCUAGGAGGACAGAGGUAGAGGGGGCAGUUUGGUCAUGACGAUGUCAACAAUGCACAUUUUCCUGAACUUGUUUGCAGCAAACCACAAACCCCAUCGUAGCCAAACCAGGAAGAAUCAGGCCUCACGUGGACCACAGAAACAGUUUGACCAAAACCGGACGACAAGUUAACCUCAAAGGAAACACUUAACCACAAGAGGGAGUACAAACUGACCUCAGCAGGAAGUGAUCCAGGACUGUUAUUAAGGACUACAACUUCACCACAGUAGGACUACAAUUACCACAUCACUGUUAUCUGUCUCUUCUGUCUACCUCCUCCUCAAGAACUUAAAAGACACCUUGAUUGAUUUUUUUUUCUGGGCUGUGUUCACGCUGGUACGACUUGAUCUGCUUCUGAACUCUCUGGAUGGUCCAGAGCUGACCCCCUUCUCGUGGUUCUUUUAUUUAUUCUUUUACUCCGCUGCCUAAAGGAGCUCUUAGAUGUCUGAUCGUGUUUUAAUUUGUCUGGAUUUCAAUGGAAAGUUCUCAGGGCGCAGUCAUACUUCCAGACUGAAAAAAAAAACUCACUUUGUUGUAUUUUUGUAUUUGCGUAACGAAGGUUUGUAAUUUCUGUUUGAAUAUUGGCUCUGAAUUGGCACAUCCAGCCUCAAACCUUCAGAUUUGUAAAGUCUGUAUCGGUCAAACCCUCACCGGGACCCUCAAAGAGAGUUCAGAACCAGUUCCUCUUUUCUUGUAUCAGUCCAGAUUGUACCACACGGUGACCCCGACAGGAAAACGGGAACUCACAGGGAACCUUUUGGAUCUUCUGGGAAGCUCUGAGCUGAACCCUGGGACUAAACGAACCGAGCUGAACUGAACGAGAUCGGAUCAGAACAUUCCACACUAAAGACAUUUUCCAACACGUCGGUGGGUCUGACUUUGAGUUAACAACCACGACAUGUUCUGGGACCUUUUUAAAUGCGUACCAAGAGUCCCCCCCCAAAAAAACAAAAUGAUUCGUUCUUGAUACCUUUACAUAAAAAAAUAAGUUCUUAGCAAGUCUUGUUUUGAAGAACGGAUAAAGUAAAGUUACUGAACGCCAUGAUGGAGACAUUUUCUGGGUUUAACUUCGUUAAAGUCUCCAUCAAAAACGAGAAAACGGAAUCAAAUCAAACCGUCGGCUGACCAGAGACGCUGAACUAAAGCCGGGUUUACGCUUGCCGUGGCAUCCUUCGUGCGAGGGUGCGCGAGCCAAUAAGGACAUCAUCACGUAUUGUGCGUAAAGUGCGAAACCUCCGCAAGUGCUUGGUUGUGCACCUCUGAGUUAGAAAGACAGCCAACGACUCUUUUCUUUCCAGGGAUCGUAUAAAGGCGAUGAAGUUUACAGUUACUCACAGCUCCUCCUCAGCGUAGAGAAGUUUGGUUUAUGGCGUUCUUUUGGUAACACUCGUCGACUUCUUGCUUUUUCACAAUAUAUUUAGUUUGUACGCCCUCUGGCGUUUCGGAGAAUACUGCACAGAAUAACACGUUGAGCAUAAACAACUUUGUUUAUGCUCGUAGCUCGCCACGGUGCCUCGCCGCGAGCAUGAACAAAGCCUACGGGUUGUGGGCUUUUUAAAGGAUCUUGCUAUUCAAGUUGUUUUGCUGAGACUUUCUCCAGAUUUCCGUUAGCUUAAUGAGGAUGUAGUGAUGUUCAGUUGCGCUUACUAAUUCUGCAUUUCCACUUUCUACUCAACUCGACUCUACGCUCUUUUUUGGUUUUCCAUUAGCUAACAUUGCGGAUAGUCCCUGAUACCUGGUACUUUUACUGGCACCAACGAGGUCAAGGUUCCAAGCCAGCAUGCGACAUCCUGCACAAACCGAGAGUAGUGACGGCAAUUUUCUUUAUUUGCUCGACGACAAAAGUGUGGACGUUCCUCUGUUUGGUUGCCGAUGAAACGAUGAAGAUGAUGUCCCGGCAGUUUCAUGUGGUGUUGCCAUGGCGAUCAGCCGAGAGUCCCGUCUACACUGAGGGGGGGGAAACGAGUAGAGAAAAGUUCCAAAAGUGAGUCGAGUCGAGCCGAACCCCUGAUGGCGGUGAGAGGUAGUUAGUUGCUCUUUCACUUCGUUGUAAAUAGUUUUUAUUGGGAAGAAAAAGUCCCGCUGAAAACUGUUGAGUGAGGUCUGAGGUUAUCCUCAGAAACCAGGACAGAGUUACUGGAAAGUCGAAACGUUGCCGACUAGUUGUUCAACUAAAUCUCUACGAACAUCUACAAGCUCGAUAACCACGGACUGAACCCCGACGACUCGUCCGUCAGCGCUCACAGACGUGUUGGAAACAUUUACUUUUUGUUUUGGAGUACCAUGAGGAAAACGUUCCCCCGCCUCGCCGUGGGAACUGAAACCGAGCGCCUCCGUCCUCCCCCGGGUGGCGUUGGGAGGGAGGAAGGAGGCGCUUGUUUUCGUGUGUCCGUCCUCGUCCUCAUGUCUUCUGUCUCUGUGACCUCCUCAUGUGCUGAAUUGUAAUAAAAGAUUUCAAAGAUUCAAA